RNAcentral lists this long non-coding RNA (14042 nucleotides) under Ananas comosus (pineapple). RNAcentral's name for it is "long non-coding RNA (ACOM_LNC034719)". Lineage: Eukaryota; Viridiplantae; Streptophyta; Magnoliopsida; Poales; Bromeliaceae. The record is from RNAcentral.
UUGUAUUUGUGGCGGGUCUGUACGUCACGUGGGCCAGGUUGAAAAAAAAAAAAAAUGGCACGCUUUCCGCAACUCUGUUUUCAAAAGGCUUUUAAAAUCGGCCCCGGGGCGUGACAGAUUAAGAUGGUAUCAGAGCGUGAAACAACUACAACUGCAUUUACAAGUUUUCUAACUGAACCAUUGGUUAGGUUGACCUAUAGAAAGACCUAAGGUAUAUAGGCACGUACGAGCGCGGGAUGUUCGAGAUUUAGUCUCGUGGUUAUCGAGCUAGGAGGCUCGAAGGUUGAUCUGUGUUUAUUACCCCGUAUUUCUUGUGUUGCAGGUUAUGGCAUGUACUCGUUUUGGUGUUAGGAGUGGGGGCAGUGAGUAGUCUAUCUUUGAGCAAUGAGGUGUCGACAGACUGCUAUUGCUAUUGUUAUCGCCCCACCUCCAACACGGGACAUGGAAGUUUUUGCUGGUCAAUCCGCAGACACAGGGUGUAUUCUGUUGAGUUAUGUCAGGUGGUUUUGUUGGUGGAGUUACCUAGGCAGAUGUUUCGACCUUUGUGGGCUUCUUGUCAGUGUGGUGUGUGUUGAGUCUUGCUUUUGUAUAGUAGUGAUGUCGUAUCUCAGUUCGUGCAUUCUAGUGCAUUAUAGGGUUAUUGGUCGGAUUGGUUCUUGUGUCUUGUUUCCAACUUGUUGUUGGCGAUGGAUCAGUGGGUACCUUACCUUUCUUUUGAUAAUUACGUUGGCUGCAGACAACGUAGUGUUGAAAGUUAGGAUAAGAUACCCUAUCCCUUUUGGGGAAUAUCUGGAUUGGGUCAAUAUUUCUUUUCUCUUGUAUGAGAGGUGUUAGUCUUCUUUGAUCAUCUAGUGAGCCUGGUGUUUUGCUCUGAUGUAGCAGCUUGUAUUGUUGUACGAGGUAUACGUUUUGAUUUUUGGGGAUACCUUGGAAUGGAUUGGGUUGCUGUUCGGUCACUUGUUGGAGUCUCGUUGAGACGGGCAUCUAGUGUUGCUCAGGACGUCGAUCGCUAGGGUCCCUUGGGGACGGCAGCGAUAGGGUCUCGUAGAGACAGAUGUGGAGCAUCACUGGUGGUUUCGAUCGCUUGUUGCGAGUGGCAACUCUGUUCACCUAGUGACGGACAUGCUUUGGUUGUAUGUUUGAGUGUUGAGCAGGCUAAAUUGUUGGCUCAACUGGUACUGACAGCCUUAAACCUUUUUGGUCUAGGCAAAUGGUUAGGUCUUGGACCUAAGAGAGUUGGGUGCCAUCGAUAGGUUCCGAUGGUUAAGUUCUGGCCUUGUCAGGUUGUAGUUCGGUUCUCCGAGGUAAGUGUUGAUUCUCUGGCGUAGGAUCACCCCUGCCUGUGAGCAAGUUUCGAGGACGAAACUUCCUUUAAGGGGGGGAUGAUGUAAGGACUGAGAUUUUUGCAGUGUAGCUAAACUCUCAGUUGACGAUGUUUUUGUGUGUAAUUUAAUUACAAAAGCACUCGUCAAGUUUCGGGCGAAAACUGAGUAAAACGAAAAUCUCUACGCGAUUUCAAGUUUCACUUAAAGUGAAUAGUAACUCGAUUUUCGGAGAAGCCGCGGUGAGAAGUUGGCUUCUGGCUCGUACGGACUUUGUUCAUAGCAGUCCAAUAGCUCGUUUCGACCGGUGGUAGCUAUUCUGGAACUAAUUGACGCUGACGGAUUUUGGUUUGACGCACGAAUUUUGAGAAAAUCCAAAAAUACAUGUUUUAUAUGUAUUUAUGUGUGUGUUUCCUUCUAUUUUGGAAGGAGGAAGUUGUUGGAUUUUGUCGUGAAUCCGUGGUCGAUCAAGACGAACGAAAUUGCAGCUUUGUUGUCUCUGUCGUUGCUGAUUGCACUGGUGUGAUUCGUUCGCGAAUCUGUGACGGACGGAUCUGCGGAGAUCGCCGCGUUGAUCGAGAGAGGUCGGUAGUGGAAAAACGUUAUUUUGCAAAAGUCGCGAUUAUUUUAUGUAUCGUUUCGAGUGAGAUCGGCAUGUGGAGGGGCGUUCAUGGUUUUAGUCGUACCGUGAGGGAGCUCGGAUUGUAAUUCUGAUGUUUUGGGGGACCUUUUUGCUUGUUGCCAGCUUACUUUAUAGGCUUUUUAGGUUUUUACCUAGCUAACGUAACCCUAGCCUUGCCCUAGCUCCCUAGCCGCGCUCCCCCAGUUCCCGCUGCCCUCCCCCUGCGUGCGCGCCCGGCCACCUGUACUCGCCGCCGCCACUGGAGCUGGCAAUGCUCCAUCCUUUCUCCAUCUCUUUUCUCUCCUCUUUCCUCUCGGUUGUUGUGCGAGGCCCGGGGCUGCACCUCCUGAGACCUCCACCGCGGAUCGCACCGGUGCUCCUGCAUCGACUCCCCGCGCCGCCGCCAUCGCCGGGUGCCGCCGCUGCUGCUCCUGCGGACUGCUGCAACCCAGCCGAGCCUGGCCGAGCGGGUUGCCACAGCCGCCAGCGCGCCGCCGCCUCUCGAGGCUUCCUCCUUCCUCCUCUCCGGCCUCUGGGGACCCGCAUGUCGUCGUCCCCGACCUUCCCAGUCGCCACCGUGGCCGCAGCCUUCUUGGAGUCCGCCUUGCUCUUGCGGGCCGAGCUUGCUCCGCCGCUGCCAUGCCGCUUCUCUGCGUCGCCAACCGAGGUGAGCACGGAGUUCCUCACCUCCCCUCACCCGACUCAGGGCCCCGCGCGCGCGCCGUGCCGCCGGAGACCGGCGCGAGCAAGUUGCUCCGGCCAAGCCCGAAAAUAGGGCUUAUUGAGAUGGGUUUCUUGUUCUGGGCUUCCCGAGCUUCCCGAUCUCUACGGAAGGGAGCACGAUGAUCUCUGGCAAGUUUCUGAUCAUCGUGCUCACCUUGGUUUCUGUCGGAAGGGCCCGUUCCGUGUGUUUUGGCGAUGUCGCUCCGUUUCAGCCUCUUUUUGGCUGCUGUUUCGGGUUUGUACUUAUUUUUUCGGCGAUCGAGGCUGUUCCGAUGCCUCCGGAGGUGAGCACCGCUGACCGCUGGUCAGUGCUGAUCACAAUGCUCACCUUCCCUUGGGAUCCAGAAGUGUCCGGUUAGUUCUGUUCGGCGCGAUUUCUCCUGACUGCGCGCUAUUCGCUGAACCUUCGGGUUGCUCCCGCGUUCCCACACCAGCCGCUUGUGCUCCGGAUCGUGAGCACGGACUCCGGUACGUCGAGACUGUCAGUACGUGUCUCUGCGGGACUUCGAAAGUCCUCGGUUUGCGUGAACGGCCGCUUGAUCGCUCAAAUUACAUAAAAUGAUGAGAUUUUAGUGUAAUUAGAGGGUCUUUUCAUGCAUUUGUGUAUUGUGUGGCUACGUGGGCAGCGUGUGUGAGUGUGUUUGACGCUGGACUGAUUGUCCAUGGUCCGUUAGCUUUCGGCGGAAAUCGGUAGGUCGAUUUUCGUGCGUUUUCGGCGAAAUUCGCGAAAGAAGCGCAGUUUCGGUUCGGAUUCUUUUCGACGGGUGUUUGGUGCUUCGUGUUUUGUCGCUGAGCCUUGUUGGCUGGUCACCAUCAUCAUUUUGUGGUUCGAUGAUGAUAGGUGAGCGACAGAGCGUUUCGGUGUCGAAAUAGGACACUUCCGGGAAUCGGAUUCGUACGAUUAUCCGGCGAUGAUCGUAUUGUUGUGUUCUCGUGUUCGCUGCCAGGCAAUCCAAAUUGGAGUGCUUUGGGGUUAGCGAGUGACUCGUGGCACGAGUCGGUGAGUUCGGUGACAUUUAGUGGUCCGACGGCCGUCCCGGUGUGGUUUUCGGGACUUCCGGUGAGUUACGGUAAUCGGUUUGGGAAAACCGAUUACGGGGAUCCUGCCGUGUGGGGGUUGUGAGUCUCGUGCUUUGGGUUAGUGGUUUGGAUUCUGGACUUGGUGGAUCUUCUUAGGUCCGGUCGACUUGUGCGGUACCCAGUGUUCCGACGCGGACAGUGACAGGUGGGUGCUUCGAGCUGGCAGUCGGUUAGAGCGUUUUCACCUUCCUUUCCUAUUUUUCUAUUCUGUAUUUAGUCUCUACAUGUCAUUGCUUGUUAUCGUUUGGGUUAUCGCACCCUUGAUUGCAUUGUGUUAGUUGUGGAUAGACAUGUAGAGCAGGGCGGCAUUCGUAUUUCAGUAUCUCUGGUGGACCUUGGGUCCAGGAACACAUCGACUCUUUGUCGUGUGUUCGAUCUGGUUGAUCGAUGGUUCGGCGUUGUACGCCCUAGCAUCUAUUUCAGUUCGGCGUUGUACGCCCUAGCUUCUAUUUUGUUUGGAUGUUACGCCCUCGUUGUUGGCUUCGGCCUAGGCACCGCUUUAGCCGGGUUUGUUUUGUUUGAGCAUACCAGCAUGACUUAGUCACGACACUGUGGGUAUUCAUGACACCGGAUCGGUUUGGCCACCGAUCAGAUGGUGUACUUAUCCGGAUGGGUCAUCCUGUUGGCGGGAUGGAUCAGGUCGGUGCAGUUAGUGACAGGCCAGCGCUUGAGGUUCUGCGGACGCAAUAUAGCAGGCACAGCAUUAGGGUACAGGUUUCUGGUUCAGUACAUUGAGGCAUUCUUUGCAUUGUUUUCUAUACAGUAGCAGCGUUCAUUUAUUGCUUCCUAUUUAUCUGUUGUAGUACUGUAUGUUCUAUUUCAUAUCAGCUUACAUAUAUAUACUUGUUUAUCUAUCUCCUUUGGUUUCCGGUGAUUACGGCUUGCUUCGUGGCUCUGUCUACACUGAGAAAACCAUGGUUGCGGUUUCUCACCCCCAUUUUCCCCCCAGGUGACAUAGACGAGGAGUUGGAUUUUGGGCUGACAGAGGACGAUCUAGCUAGUUCUGGUAUAGCGAUCGCCACCCUGUUGUAUUUUCUUCCCGCCUUUAGUAGUCAUUUAAAUAAAUGGUUCAGUUAGAUGUUUGAAUGUUGUGAUUUUCGUUAUGCAUGAUUAAAUGAUCUUAUGAUUUUUUGAAUGAGUUGUUUUCCUCGUAUGAUGAGAUUAUGGAUGUAAUAUAUACAUGAGAUUGGAGUUUUCAGAUAUGUGGUUUUGGAUCCUUGGUUUCAGAUUGGAUUUAUACGCUUUGUGGAUUUCUACCCCUCGAGGUAGCUGGUUUUGAAAAUAGAGUUUCCGUGUGGGAAACAGUUUUAAAAGGUUUCGAAUGAUUUUUAUGAAUAAUGAAUUAGAGUUUAAAAACAAAAGCUUCUGUGUCGGGAGCACUUUUAAAUAGGAUGAUUGUUGUAUUGUGCAUUGCAUCAUCCAGCGCCUAAGGAGUGCUUAGAGGCAUGCAUCAUUCUAAGGAUUGUUAGCUGUAUGGAAAUGCAUAUCAUGCUUUGGUUGUUGUUUGGUAAAUGUAGGUUGUGGUUGAGAUCCUGUUGUAUCUGUUGGUACGCCGUGCAAAUUAAAGGAGACUCUGCCCGAGUGGACAGAGGAACUUUGUAUUUUUGGCGGGUUGUACGUCACGUGGGGCCAGGUUGAAAAAAAAAAAAAAAAUGGCACGCUUUUCCGCAACUCUAUUUUCAAAAGGCUUUUUUAAAAUCGGCCCCGGGGGCGUGACAAUCCUGCUUUGGAUUUCUUGUGGAAGAUAAUAGCAUUUAGUAAAAUGGUAUCUAGCACUUGAAUAUAAUAAGUUAUUACCUCGCAGUAAUCUUCUUUAUCUGAGGUCUUGUUUUAGCUCAUAUUACAUGCUUAUAUAUUUUAGAUUGUGUAAUACAACCAUCUUAUUCUUUUUGACAUGUCUUCCACCUGUUAGUUCUCACAAUAUUUUAGUUUUUGGUGGAAUCUCGAUGAUAUUUUAAUAUAUGUUCACUACACUGAACACCAUAUAAAACAAAGAGGACACUUUAUUAAAAGGACGCAAACAAAAUCAACUCCUAUUACGAAAGAAAAAGAUGAAACACAAAAAACAUAAAACUUAGCUACUCACAACGCAAACAGAGGAAAAUCCUAAAAAAAAAAGAGAAAAAAGAUGACAGAAUAAGGAAGGAUGACACCAUUUGGAAAGGAGAAAGAAGGAAGGAAAAAGAUAAAGUUUAGUUUUUUGCAGUUAAAAGGUGUCUUCGGUGUUCCAUCCGGGUCCUCAUCGGUUAUCAUAGUAUGCUCCGGACCACAUACGGUAGGCGAAUGAUCUGGAGAAGGCGGCAUCACAUGUUCAUCAGGGUUUGCCGCCAACUCGCCAUCCAUUGGAACAACGUUGGGCUCGUGAAUUAUUUCAAAACAUUUAUCAAUGUUUUCCUUCAUUUCUUCCAAGUCGGGGACAAUUCGAUCCCUUUCUACGACCAAAGAAUUAUAGAACCUUCUGAGAAGGUCGUAGUCUAACUUAAGCAUUUCAUAUUCAUCGCGAAGCUCUUCAUGAUCGUGACAAAGCUGAUCGUAUAAACCUGUUAAAGAUUUUCUUUCCUCGUAAUUUGUGUCCUUAACUUCAAAGCGUAGCUCGUUGCGAAGCCUCCCAAUAGCAAUCCUUGCAGCAUCCUUUUUGGUACGAUUAGCAUUCGACGACGGUGCACCCCAACUUGUAAUGACUUCUAUGAUUCGGCUACUUCUUGGAAUUUCCACAUCGACGUAAGAACAAAAUCGCAAGUCCACAUCUAAUGUCAUUCCAUAACUUGGAGGAUUAAGUGAAAAUUUAGCGCAGAUCUUGCGGAGUAGAUGGCGAAAAUUAAUAUCAAUGCUAACAGGUGCGGCCAUUGCUGCAGUCAAAUGAAAGAUAAAGGGAAGUAUAGUUCAUCACUCUGAAAAAAGAGGAGUGAAAGAAAAUUCUAAGAAUUGAGGUAAGAAUUUGAAGCUGAUUAAUAUAAAUCUACAUUCAUGAAUUUUCACCGGCCCUAUCAUUCCACUAAUUAUUUGUCAUGUGAAUGCUGAGCGGAAAACUACAUAUCAAUGAAAUAAUUUAAGAACUCAUUGAUUAUUCGCCUAUAAUUAAUGAAUAAUUUGUUAACAUUUCCACAUUUUUCCACUGAUUAAAAAAAGAAAAUCAAUACUCGCAUAUAUAUAAAUAUUAAAUAUUUAACCUGAAAAUUCAUGAAAAAGGAACAAUUCAUGAAAAAAAAAAGAACUAUUAACCUGAAACCCCUAGGAAGAAGAAAACGUCCAGAUCGUGGGAAUGUGAGCGUCGAUUCCUGAGAAUAAGACAAUAACAUUCUUAUAUAAGAAAAAAAAAAACCUAAAUUUCUUAUAUUUAAUUUAAAUGAAAUUAUAAAAGAAAACCUAAUUUUCUUACCUAUCACAUGAUGGUUUUGAUCUGAGGGAUGGAUGAAAUACAUAGGCAAGAAUGUAGCAGCAAUGAGGGUAGAGGAAGCGGCAGCCAGUACAUUUGAUUAAAGAAAUAAUGAUACACGAUCUCAUUUGAAACGGUGGUAGUUUGAUGAAUGAUGAAUGAUGAAUUAUGAGACACGAUCUUCUCUGAAACGGAAAUAGAUACGGAUGUUGCGGUGGAGGAGAGGAAACGGCUUACCACACGAAAUCAAGAGGGAGAGCGAAGAAGCAAGAACGCUCAAGCAAGAAUGCUCAGAGGGGGGAGCGUUUCAGCAAGGGCAGGGGGAGAGGAGAGUAAACGCUUUGCAUACAGAGAGUUUUGGUUUGGUUUUAUUUACAGGUUUAGAUAGGGUUCGGUUCGGUUCGGUUCGGUUCGGUUCAGAGGUUCAGAGAGAGGGAGUUCUAUGGUUCGGUUCAGAUCACAAUUUAUAUAGAAAAUCGGUUCAAUUAUAAAAAGGGUUCGGUUCUGUUCGGUUCGGUUCCGAAACUAUAUCGGUUAGAUUAUAAAAAGGGUUCGGUUCUGUUCAGUUCGGUUCCGAAACUAUAUCGGUUUGAUUAUAAAAGGGUUCGGUUCUGUUCGGUUCGGUUCCGAAACUAUAAGAAAUAUUGGUUCAAGUUCGGUUCAAGUUAGAAUUGGUUUGGCUCAUGGUUUGGCUCAAACACAAUGAAUCCACAAUCUAAGAAUAAAGGGUUCGAUUAUAAAAAGGGUUCGGUUCUGUUCGGUUCGGUUCCGAAACUAUAAGAAACAUUGGUUCAAGUUCGGUUCAAGUUAGAAUUGCUUUGGCUCAUGGUUUGGCUCAAACACAAUGAAUCCACAAUCUAAGAAUGAAGGAUUUCUUGCCACAUGGCAAGAAACAUUGGUUCAAGUUCGGUUCAAGUUAGAAUUGCUUUGGCUCAUGGUUUGGCUCAAACACAAUGAAUCCACAAUCUAAGAAUGAAGGAUUUCUUGCCACGUGGCAAGAAACAUUGUGAAUUCAUUAGUUUUUAUAGAUCUUACAUGAUUUUCUCCAAUAAAUUUAAAUAUUAAUUCUAAUCCAACUAAGAUUUAACUACAAAGCUAACCAAAUCCUAGCAAUCUCCACUUUGGUUUGAUUUGUAGUUUUCAAACGUUGUGUCGAGCUCACCAUGCAACUCAUCCUCAAGCUUGUCUCCUCCGCUCAAUGUCGCCACAUUCGCUGCUCCAUCUAGAGCGACUACAUAUCCACGAACUUUUGGAACCCAAACAGUUUGCGCUCUCGUUCUCACCGUGCUGCCCUCUAGAAUAUGUUCUUGCGCUUGUUCGCCUCGCACACGACCUGAUUUUGUUUUCAGAUCCUUAUGGCUCAACCUGAAGCUGAAAAAUCACAACCCUUUAUGUCCAAUGCAUCUAAUGAGAUCAAAUUUCGCUUCAAACCAAAAAUAUGCCUCACGCCAAUCAGCGUUCUCAUAACCCAUCGUGCAUCUGUAUCUUCACCAUAUUCCAAAACAUUGCACCUCAUUCUGUUCCCUAUAUGAGCUUUUCCACCUCUAAUCUCCUUAUAGGUAGCAAACGACUCUUUCUCUAGGCAGAUAUGAAAAGAACACGGCGAAUCGAGAACCCACGCAUCAUCCAAAAUUUUACCACCACUAGUCACUGCAUGCACAUGAAAAUCAAUCACCUCUGAUUUUGCUACCUGUGCAAAUGCUGAUGUCUCCUCAUCUUGGUCCAUGACAAUUUUUUCCUUUCGCCACUUCAUCCCCUUUAGAUCAUUCUGAAGUUUCCGAUAGUUGCUCUUAUGAUAGUAGAAGCACUCCAUCUUGGAUAGCGGCCUCUUUUUUCUAUCUCAUGUUGCCGAUACUUUCGCCUCCUUCUUCGGUUUUACCAUUAGAGCCGUAUCAUAGCUCUGCAUGCCGAACUCCUGAGUUAUCUUCCGUAUCUCAUUUGAGAGAAGCGUCAUAGUGAUUGCCACCAUGCUAUGGUCUUUCUGCCAUAAAGCAACAUGAUCACUAGAUGCUCAUAUAUUGUCUAUAGUAAAGUAAUAAAAUCAGCGCCUUGUCCUCAUCAUCCAAAUUGACUCCGAUACUGGUCAAUUGAGCCACCAACUUGUUGAACUCAUUUAAGUGCUCGUGGAGGCUCGCUGUUUCUUGCAUCAGCGGUGUAAACAGUUGCUACUUUAGAUACAGCCUUCGUCAGGGACUUGGGUCAUGUACGAACCUUCCAACUUCUUCCACAACUUCACUGAUGUCGACUCGUUGGCUACCUUAUAAAAAAGCUUAUUUGCUAACAAUGGAUAAAGCUUACUCAACUCCUUUUGCUCUAUUUUUUAACAUGUCGCAUCCUUGACCUUUGUUUGCUUUGCCUCUGUUGGGAACCAGAUGGAUCGUCCGUCAUGCGCUACCAACAAAGAUGCAUGAAAAAUAGAGAAAACAUCGAACGAACGGUAAAAGAAAUAAAUGUAGAAAGAAGAAACCAAGAUUUACGUGGUUCGAUGUUUUCUCUAUUUUUCGUGCAUCUUUGUUGGUAGCACAUGACGGACGAUCCAUCCGGUUCCCAACAAAUGGUAUCAGAGCUUAAGGUUCGCACUACAUCAGAGAUAUCGAAAGUCUCAUCUUCUAAGUUUGAGGUGGAGAAAUUUGACAGUAAAGGAAACUUCGGUCUCUGGCAGAGAAGAGUGAAAGCCCUUCUGGUUCGACAGGGCCUUCAUAAGGCGUUGCUCGAAAAAUCGAAAAAGCCGACAUCGAUGAGCGACGAAGAUUGGGAGGAUAUUGAUCUGCGAGCGGUGAAUACGAUUAUAUUAUGCCUAGCAGAUGAGGUGAUGUAUAACGUGAUGGAUGAAGAAACUAUAGUCGGCAUGUGGAACAAGCUAGAGAAGCUGUACAUGACAAAAAGUCUCUCGAACGUGCUGUACCUAAAGCAAAAAUUAUAUGGGCUACGCAUGAAGGAAGGUACGGCAAUAACGGAACACUUGAACACCUUUAAUAAAAUUAUUGCAGGUUUGCUCAGCAUUAAUGUCAAGGUUGACGAGGACGAUAAGGCGUUGAUUUUUCUUACAUCACUUCCGUCGUCCUACAAUCACUUGGUGACCACCAUACUGUACGGGAAGCAAACUCUAAAGAUGGAAGAUGUUACAUCGACACUUUUAUCUGAAGAGAUCAGGUUGCAGGCGAGUACCGAAGAAAGCAGUGCAGGUUUGGUCGUAAAUGAUACAAGUGGAGGAAGGGGACGAUCUAGCGAACGUGAUGCAGGUAAAGGAAGAUCCCGUUCGAAGUCAAAAUCGGAAAAGGUGAAGUGUUACUUCUGUAAGAAAGAGGAGCACGUGAAAAGAAACUGUGAGAAGAGGAAGGUUUUGCUGCGAAAAUUAGAUUCCUCUGCAGAUACGGCGAGCGUAGCUAGCGACACUAGUCAGGAUGUUUUGACGGUUUCUACAGGUUCAGAAUCUCUCAAUGACUGGAUAUUAGAUUCGGGUUGUUCUUGUCACAUGACUUCGGACAGAUCUUUAUUUGAUACUUAUAAAUCUUGUGAAAGCGGUAGUGUUAUCAUGGGCAAUCGCACUAGCUGCAAGAUGGUCGGUAUCGGAACAGUAAAAAUAAAGAUGUUUGAUGGUGUGGUGAGAACGUUGACGAAUGUGAGACACAUUCCGGGUCUUAGAUUAAAUUUGAUAUCGCUUCGUACUCUUGACUCUAUUGGUUGUUCUAUUAGCAUUUCAGGUGGAGCCGUCAAGGUUGAAAAGAGUGCUACGGUAGUCAUGAAGGGAGAGAAGGAGGGGAAUCUGAACAAGCUAAUCGGUAAGUCGAUAAUAGCGGAGAAGUCUAGGCAUUCUCUAGAUUUUGCUAACCUGCAUGACUAUUAGUGUUAGGAUGCCUCAGGGAGAAGGGGCGAUAAGAUGAGAGAGAGAGUAAUGAAGUAAAAAAAAAGUCAAGGUGGAGAAUGUUAAAGAUAUGCCUUCUUUUUUAUUGGUUUGGUUCAUACACCGGAUUUAUGGAAAAAUAGAAAGGAUCCCAUGAGGAUUUAUUUUGGUGGAUCCUAAUUUAAAUUGGAAUCUUAGGUGGACUAGGAUUGGUUUUCAUAUAAGACUCUAUAUUCAAUUAUCAUAUCGAAUUAGAGUAGGAUUGAGCUAAUGCAUAUAUCUAUAUAUAUGCAUGUAUGACCGUUCGGUGUAUGGUGUGGAGUAGAGGACAAUAUUAAUUAGAGAAGCUAAUUAUGAAGGUGGCUGGUUCUAUUCAUAAGGCGUGUACGGCUUGGGUUGAGAGGCGUGUGGUGUAGAGGUCAAAUUAAUUAGCACCCCGGCGUCAUGAACCGUACGGUUCUUGGGGGUGCAUGAGGCUUAAUUAAUUAGCAUGCAGUGAAGCUAAUUAAUUAAGAUGGCCGGUUCUCUUCAUGUAUAGCCGUACGGUAGCAAGAGAAAGAGAUGCGCGGUAGCACGCAUGCGACAGAUUGAAGUCAGCGGCGGAGCGGCGGUUCUCGACCAAUUGCCUGAGCAGUUUGGAUUCUUCGAAGCAACGACAUAAAGGAAUUUGGUUAUAGUUUCUAUACUCCUCUAAUUUGGUCUUCUCAGUUUUACGAAAAACUUUUUCGGUAUUUUCUUGGAGUUUUUGUUGGAACACGAGAAAGGUGGGAUUCACCAUAAGGCUCUUUGGUUUUUUAUCCGAAGAAGACAUAAGGUGGAAGCUUGUACUUCUAUUUCUUCAUAUAGUGGAAUACAUCUCUCUCGCUCUCCCCGUGGACGUAGGCGAUUGCCAAACCACGUAAAUCUUGAUUUCUUUUUUCUGCAUUUAUUUCUUUUACCGUUCGUUCGGUAUUUUCUCUAUUUUUCGUGCAUCUUUGUUGGUAGCGCAUAACGGACGAUCCAUCCGGUUCCCAACAGCCUCUUUCCUGUUCAAUGUCUAAUCCAAAUCCUGUUGUACCAGAAUUGCUUGAACUUUAAUUUGCCAUAUCCUAAAAUUGUUCUUACUGUUGAACUUCUCGAUGUCGAACUUCAUAGCCAUCUCCGUCGAUCUUUCUUGAGAAUAGGUAAUCCUUAAGGCAUUGUUUGGAUUUGGAAUAAGCUGAGGGAUAAGAGCUUAUCCCCCAGCUUAUACCCAAACAAGUUUCAAAGUGGUGGGAACAACAGUUCCCACCACCAUCGGGAUAAGGGAAAGGGGUGGGGAACAACUGUUCCCACCCCCCCUUUGUCUCAUGUGUCCUGUGUGAGAUCAACUUUCCCAAAUUACCCUCCUCAUCUCCUUCUCCCCAUUUUCGAAUCAAGGAAAGCUCUCUCUCUCUCUCUCUCUCUCUCUCUCUCGGUCAUAGAGCUCCUGCGGGUACCGGUUCCUCUCCCUCCACCUCACCGAGCACCACCCUUUAUCUCCGGCCGACGGAUCCAAGAAACUUGUGGGUUUGUGAAACGGCUCUCCUUCCCUUCGUCUCCGGCCGAAGCUUGUGGGUUUCCUCCGACGCUUACUGCGAGAUCGCUGGAAGGAUCUUGAACUCCGGUGGGUUUCCCCUGGCAUUGUGUGCAGUCGUGCAUCCGCUAGAGGUGGAUCGACCUAUUUCCUCUCCGAUUUCUUUCUCCCCUGCACUGGGUUCCUCUCCCUCUACCUCACCGAGCACCACCCUUCAUCUCCGGCCAACGAAUCCAAGAAGCUUGUGGGUUUUCUAAAACGGCUCUCCCCCCCUUCAUCUCCGGCCGAAGCUUGUGGGUUUGCGAAACGUUGGCUGCGAGAUCGCUUUACGGAUCUUGAACUCCGGUGGGUUUCCCCUGGCGUUGUGUGCAGUCGUGCACCCACUAGAGGUGGAUCGACUCGUUUCCUCUCCGAUCUCUUUCUCCCCUGCAUUGGGUUCCUCUCCCUCCACCUCACCGAGCACCACUCUCCGGCCGACGGAUCCAAGAAGCUUGUAGGUUUGCGAAACGGCUCUCCCCCCCUUCAUCUUCGGCCGAAGCUUGUGCUGGUGAGUUUUCCGCGAGCUUGCUUGUUAGAUCUGAAUCCUGGUGAGUUUUCCGCGACCUUGCUUGUUGCAGUGCACCCACUUGACGUGGAUCUUGCCUAUUGCGACUCCGCUUUCGUGCCGGUAGUGCAGAUCUCGGUGCUCACAUCUCGGCAUUCUAUUGAUAUGCCAUUUUGGGUUCUUCUUCAUCAGAGAACCCUGCUUUUUGCUAUUAGUUUGGAUUCUGGGUAUCCCUGAUUGCAAUAGUUCAUUGCAAAUACGACGACGAGACUAGGCAACGGGCGUCGUCCGACAGUACAUGAAUAUGCCGCUGAUUACGUGCACAAUAUAUUUUCGUCUUGGUUCUUGUUUUUGUCUUCUUUGCAGUGAAUAAGUAGUGGCCAAAUCGGUUGUGCGCGGCCUCGCCCGACGCUUUCUAUUUCCAACAUUAGCAUCCCCUGCUCCUGGUCCCCCACUGGUUCUAGAAGGUCAAAAUUAUAUUUGCUGUCGACAUUAUUAUAUGUUUGGAUGUGACCAUGAUUGUGGGUAAAAAUCUUGCAAAAUAUGAUGGCUGCGAUCGGUUUGCAUGUUAAGUUGAUCGAAUUGGCAAUGAUGCCGGUUUCCAUUACCAUUUGUUGGCAUGGCAUGGAAGUCAUAUUCUGUGCAGCCCCAUGGUAAUCGGGGACUCUCUGAGCCACAACGCGUCACAGCGUUGCUCCCUUGGUUUAUCCAGCAGAGAAAUCAAUUGUGCUACAGUUUAUUCAGAGAGGGCUUUCUUAUACUCAUUACAUAUUUCUCUUUUGUCUUGUAAAUUGGAUUAUGCAUGAUGAUCUGCUGAGAUAUUUACAUAUUAUGCUAUACUGGUAGAAUAUUUAUAUUUUGUUUUCCUAAACGAUGUUGUAUUGAGGGGGAUAAAAUAGUAUGUCGUCCACAUACAGAUGCGACCGAACCAUAUUCUUUCUAAGUCAAAUAAAAACAAAUCGAGGGGUAUGGAUAAUGCGAUCCCAGGUUGUGAUGU